Molecule: ribosomal RNA, 472 nt
Filed under: uncultured bacterium
Lineage: Bacteria
Description: partial 16S ribosomal RNA
Rfam family: Bacterial small subunit ribosomal RNA
Source: RNAcentral
GACGAACGCUGGCGGCGUGCUUAACACAUGCAAGUCGAACGCUGAAGCUUGGUGCUUGCACUGGGUGGAUGAGUGGCGAACGGGUGAGUAAUAAGUGAGUAACCUGCCCUUGACUCUGGGAUAAGCCUGGGAAACUGGGUCUAAUACUGGAUACGACAUGUCACCGCAUGGUGGUGUGUGGAAAAGGUUUUACUGGUUUUGGAUGGGCUCACGGCCUAUCAGCUUGUUGGUGGGGUAAUGGCUCACCAAGGCGACGACGGGUAGCCGGCCUGAGAGGGUGACCGGCCACACUGGGACUGAGACACGGCCCAGACUCCUACGGGAGGCAGCAGUGGGGAAUAUUGCACAAUGGGCGGAAGCCUGAUGCAGCGACGCCGCGUGAGGGAUGACGGCCUUCGGGUUGUAAACCUCUUUCAGCACGGAAGAAGCGAAAGUGACGGUACGUGCAGAAGAAGCGCCGGCUAACUACGUG